This 1278-nucleotide ribosomal RNA is filed under the name Triticum aestivum (bread wheat). RNAcentral's name for it is "partial small subunit ribosomal RNA". Lineage: Eukaryota; Viridiplantae; Streptophyta; Magnoliopsida; Poales; Poaceae. The record is from RNAcentral.
AUGGAUGAGAUUGCCCAAGCUGAUUAUGUCCGUCUCAGGCAGCUUCACCCCUAUGUGCAUCCGCGUGCCACCUUCAGAGGCUGUGAGUUGUUCUGGAACAAGCAACAGGUCAACAUCUAUCUGGAUGUCAUCAAGAACAAGCAGAACACCUAUGUGGAGGUGAAGUGGAUUAAUAUGCAUCACAUGAGGAAGGACAAGUUUCGUGACUACUAUGGAGAGGCUCUGGACUUGGUGGAGCAGUUUGGCAUUGAGCAUGUGAUUACCAUCCACCUCGACUAUGACCCUGAGCUCAUCUGUCAGUUCUUUGCCUUAGUCUACUUUCACUCCGAUGAGGAACGGAGGAUGACCUGGAUGACCAACGGCCGUAAGCUGUCUGCUACCUGGAAGGAGUUCAUGGAUCUCCUCCAGGUUCCUGAUGAUGGUCUCGCCUCUCCAGUGGGUGUUCGCCCGCAUGCCAAUGCUGAUUCUGCCAGCAAGGACAGACUUACCCCUUUCAUGGUUGAGAAGGCGCUCGCCAAUGGCAAGACAACUUUGGUGCUCAACCCUUUCCUGGAUAUCAUGUAUCGCAUCUUCCGCAACUCCUUGGUUCCUCGCAUCGGUGAUAACGACAAGGUUCAUGCCUAUAUGGUAGAUAUGAUGCUCAUCUGCGAGGAUGCUCGUUCGUCUCAGUCACAGCCACUUGAUGUCUCACACAUCAUGUGGUGUGAGCUCCGAUUUGCAGUAUUCAACCGCAAGGUGCCUAUCUAUGGGCCCUAUCUAUUUCUGCUGAUUUCGAAAACUUGGGAGAAGAUGUUUUCUGCUGAUGAGUUUCUUGCUCCUGACUGGGUUCGCCAUGAGCCCAUCUUCCUGCGUAUCAAACCCAACUGGGCCAACACCACUACUCGCGCCGAGGCGACUGCUGCUCGGACUACUGUUGAUGAGGAGGAUGCUGGCCCCGAGGAUGUUGCUGAGGGCCAUGCUACUAGACCUUCCCAGAGUACCUCUAUGCCAUCAUGGGCCAAGAAGCUGAAGGACAAGAUGAAGACUCUUUUCUGCAUGCAAGCCAAGGGGCAGUACAGGACUCAUGUGGCGUCCAAGGAGAGUCGUCGCCGGGACAACAAGAUCUUGCAGCUCUAUGGUGAGGCAGUGUCUGGCGGGUCUGAGGAGCACAUCACUCCAAAAGCCGAGUGGAUGGAGAAGCAGGGCUACAGGUGGACUGAGUCUGAGGAGGAUGUCGAGGAGACCAUCCCUGCUGCCGAGGCAUCCGAUGGAGAGGAUUGGGACGAGUUCUCUGCUUGA